RNAcentral lists this transfer RNA (65 nucleotides) under Dictyla platyoma. RNAcentral's name for it is "tRNA-Pro". The record is from RNAcentral. Lineage: Eukaryota; Metazoa; Arthropoda; Insecta; Hemiptera; Tingidae.
CAGCGGAUAAUUUAUUAAAAAUAUUAAUUUUGGAGAUUAAAGAAGAAAUUUGUUUUCUCUGCUGA